This 559-nucleotide ribosomal RNA is filed under the name Sticta sp. 7 JAMD-2022. Its description in RNAcentral is "partial large subunit ribosomal RNA". Lineage: Eukaryota; Fungi; Ascomycota; Lecanoromycetes; Peltigerales; Lobariaceae. The record is from RNAcentral.
GUGAAAGCGSCAACAGCUCAAAUUUGAAAUCUGGCCUCUUCGGGGUCCGAGUUGUAAUUUGUAGAGGGUGUUUCGGGCGCGAUGCCGGUCUAAGUUCCUUGGAACAGGACGUCGCAGAGGGUGAGAAUCCCGUACGCGACCGGCGAUCAAGCCUGUGUGAAGCCCCUUCGACGAGUCGAGUUGUUUGGGAAUGCAGCUCAAAAUGGGUGGUAAAUUUCAUCUAAAGCUAAAUAUUGGCCGGAGACCGAUAGCGGACAAGUAGAGUGAUCGAAAGAUGAAAAGCACUUUGGAAAGAGAGUCAAACAGUACGUGAAAUUGUUGAAAGGGAAGCGCUUGCAAUCAGACCGGUCCGGAGGCGAUCAGCCGCUGCUCGUUCAGCGGUGCACUCGCCUGCGAUCCGGCCAGCAUCGGUUUGGGCGGCGGGAUAAAAGUCCCGGGAAUGUAGCUUCUUCCGGGGAGUCUUAUAGCCCGGGUCGCAAUGCCGCCCGCCCGGACCGAGGACCGCGCUUCGGCUAGGAUGCUGGCGUAAUGGUUGCAAGCGACCCGUCUUGAAACACGG